RNAcentral lists this long non-coding RNA (30013 nucleotides) under Cucumis sativus (cucumber). Its description in RNAcentral is "long non-coding RNA (CSAT_LNC002580)". Lineage: Eukaryota; Viridiplantae; Streptophyta; Magnoliopsida; Cucurbitales; Cucurbitaceae. The record is from RNAcentral.
AGGCAUUCGGUCAUUGUGCAAUAGGAACAAAUAUAUUACAGAGAAAUACAAAAAUGAAAGACGAAGAAGAUGGGGAAUAUUACAAGUUAGGGGACUGAUGAAAUUGUAACGACCCAACUUUUCUAGGUAAGUCAAGAUCAUUAAUUUUUGACAAAAGACUUUGGUUGAUACAAAAUGAAAUGUAAGCCAAUUGAAAAACAACUUUAAGUAAUUUUCAAAUAUUCAAAAAAACUUAAAAAAGUACUAUUUACAAAUAAAAGUUUGUAAGCUAAGUUUCAAUACAACGUCUUUAAACCUCAAAAGAAACAAUAAGCGGAAGCAAAAUAAUACAUCUCCUAUGGCAAUCACGCUUCCUUCCUGCCCCUCGCCGGUUUGCCACCUUUGUUACUUUUGCCUGAAAAUUAAACAUAAGAAGGGUGAGUAUAAAAAUACCCAGUAAGAAACUCUCUACUGGUCCCGUCAGAGGAAAAAUAAAUUGUUAACAUUCUAUUAGGACACCCUGUACAGUCGCAGUCUUGUGAUCCCGUAGGAUGUACAUUUCAGUCUAACGCCCCGAGGGACGUACAUUUCAGUCUAGUGUUCUGCAGAAACACAUAUCAGUCUAAUGCUCUCGAAGGUGCAGAAUAAUUGGUGAUCCCGUGAGACACCUACAAGGCACACAUCCCAAUAAAAGCUAACAAUUUUUCCCCUCAAUCCAUUAGUACCAUCUUUCAGUUACUUCAAAACAUAAAGUUCUUUCACUCAACGUUCUAACAGUCAACUUAUCUCACUGCAGGCCAAUGUCUGUCAGUAACAUGCUAAUACAUCAGUCAAUCAAACUAUAUAGUCAUAACGCCACUCAGUUCACCAGCACACAGUCAUACUUUAGUAUAGCGUACACCCAGUCUAAACGACAAUCACAAAUUCACAUCUGCAUCUCAUACAAACACAAUCUACAAUUGUCGUCCGGUCUACAUCCACACACAUAUAUAUAUAUUCAAAGACAAUCACAAUAUGCAUUCAACAUCAAGUCUACUUCAAUCGAUGUGUAUAUAUAUUUUUUCAGUCAUCCACAGUAUACAUUCAACACCGAAUCUACAUCCAUACGUAUAUAUAUAUAUAUAUUGUCUCAACACAUUUACUCAAUCAGAGGUGACUAUACAGACAUUACAAUUCAAAAGCAUAGGUGAAAUUCAAAAGCAUAGGUGAGUCCAGUAGAAAAUCCCUUACUUUCAAGUUAGUUAAGCUCCUUAACCACGUUGAAGUCUACAAAGAACGAAUCUAAACAUUAAGACAAUUUCUCAAUAAUUCCCUUCAACGCAUCAAUCAUUUAAAUUCAACCCAAUGUGAAUUUUUACAACUUACCCAAAUCUUCGCGAAACGAAUUUCGUUUCAACCAGAAUCAAUUGUUUGCUGCAAACCCAAGGAAUUCGAGCGUUACCUUCAACCUAUAAUCGAAAUAAUCGAACAGUAAACGAUUUAUCCAACCAACUAAUCGAGCAAUAUUACUUGAGUUUAUUUUGGAAACAGUUAGGAAUUUCAUAACUUCAAUCUUACCAAUCAAUAUUUAAUGACUUGUGGCAAAACAGGAACGACAGCAAACGACCCAAUCCUGCGGCAGGACGAAGAAGGAACUCGACACGCAGAAAGUUGGAUAUGGGGUCUUUAGUUCGGUUCACGGCAGGUGUUAUUCGCGGAAGAAGUCGAGCAGCAGCUUUGCGAAGAGACGACGUGCGACGGAGAGACUGUAUACAGACGGACGGAGAGUCGCGCGGCAGUGCAGAAAACGGAGGAGAAAGGAAUCGGCGGCGGCUGGGCUGAAAACAGAGGAGAAAGGAGAGGGGAGACAGCCGGCGGUUACAGGUUCACGCGGCGGCCUUGCUUCGCGAACAGAGAUGGCGGUUGGGUUUGGCUUCGGUGAACGGAGAAAGAAACAGACGUGGCGGUUGGGUUCGGCUUCGGUGAACGGAGAAAGAAAAGAAAGACGACCGGAAAGAAGAAGAAACGACCGGCAGCUUGUGUGGCCGACUGGGUGAACGGAGAAGAGAGGUUUUGGGGUGGCGGCCGUGGAUCGGAGAAGAAAAGAAAGAGUGGAGAUCGACGGUUGGAGGGUGCGGCUGCUAAGGUAUGGGAGGAGAAGAAGAAAUCGGGAGGAAGAACGAAGUUUUUUUUUUUUUUUCUUUUAUUUAAAUAAUAAAAAUAAAACUAAAAUAUAAUAAAUAUAUAUAUAAUAAAAUUUCUUUUUCUUUUCUUUUAUUUAAACUAAAUAAUAAAACUAAAAUAUAAAUAAAUAUAUAUAUAAUUAUAUUAUCACAUUUUCAUCUUCUUUCCCCCUUCAACAUAUUUUCUUCAAAACAAUCAAUCUUGUACAGAUCGAAAAGAAAUCUUUUAAAAUAAAAUACAUUCGAGUUUGGGGCGUUACAGAAAUAUAGGUUCUUUUUCUAUCAAGUGGAAAAACUAUUCAUUUUCAUCUUUCUCUUUAUAGGUUUUGGCCCACUCGGACCUCUCGGUCGAUCUAUUGAGACGUAUGGCCUCUUGUUCCAUAAAAGCCUUUUUUGUUAGGUGACGAUAUUUAUAGUCAACUUUCAGCAAAAAAUUUCUAUUCUUCUCAGCAUGUGUAAGUGCCGACUCACCGAAAGGUGUUUGUUGCAAAGUCACAUCAUCUCCAACUUCCAUUCUUGUCCUUUUGUGAACCACUUUCCUUUGUUUUACUUUGGUCUUCUCACCUAAGAGUGUUAUUUGUCAACCAGAAUGUGUAGUGCAUGGUGUGAGAUCCUCUACGAUUCACUCGUUUUCUUAUUUCUUAUUAAUCUUGCAUUAAGACAUUGUAAACAUGGUGAAACAGGCAUGAUAGCGUGUGUAAGAUCCAUCUCUAAGUAUUUAUUCAAUUUCAAUAUAAACUACCUGUUUUGCAUACUUCUUCUCUAUUUUGACCUCAUUAUUUUAAUAAAAGAGGCUGUAAUAACUUGUAUUUCUAUAAGUGACCAAAAAACAAUAUGUUGUGAUCUUGUAGGACACCGUGCCUGCAAUGUACAUUAUCCAACAACUAAAUCUAGCAGUUUCUAUCAAAUCCCACCCCGCACACGUCCUUACUAGCCAUGUGAUGCGCGAUAUGACUUUGAGUAUCUUGAUACGUUAAACGCCAAGACACUCAAACUUGAGAUUCUUAAGCUUUUGCUUAGUCACCUACUCACUUCUUACUUAACACUUUCAUAGAUUAGGCAAUAAACAACUUAACAAAAAAAAAAAAAAAAGACAAACCAAAAACUUUUAUUAACUUUAAACAAGGUGUUCUACAACACUUAAUAAAAAUUACAUAAGUACAUAACUUAAAUUGAAAACAAAACGCUUGCAGCUCUUCUCACCCAACAAAUUCUCAGUCUUUCCUUACUUGUGUUAACGCCUGAAGCCUGGAAAAUAAACUUUAAAACAUAAGUCUAAAAGACUCUGAAGGUUUUAUAAAAACCUUUUCGCAAUAUACCUUUCGUAGAUUUUACGUAAACACAUCUUUUCUUUUCUUUUCUUUUUUUACAUAAACAUAAUAAAUCGCAUAAGUACUCAUUCCAUAAGAACACACAUUAGUCAACAGUCAUUCCUUUCUUCAAGGACCUAAAUCAUUCUCUACGCAAAGACUCCUCAUCUCACAUUUAGACUACUGAGAUGGCCUUCUCAUCAUCAACAUCCGAGAAUAUCCUGAUUCAUUCAUUGUUGCUCAGGCUGAGAGCCAAUGCACAUCUUUUAUACAUUGUUUCACCUCAUUUCACCAUGCACAUCUUUUAUCCAUGCCUGCCUUUACACUUUUUUUUUAUAAUAGUUAGCUCAUUGGUAGGAAAUAGACUAUUGGUUUGAACAUCAUUUCAUAAACAUUUAUAACAUAUAAAACAUGCUUGAAAUCUUAGCACAAGCUUCCCAUAGAAAUCUCUUGAAAAUAUUCGUAUUGAUAUCAGUAUCAAUAAACACUUUAGUAAGAAAGCUUGAAAUUAUGUAAAUCACUUUAAAGAAACACUCACACUACUUGAUUACUUAAACUUCAAAAACUUCUCUUUUUCUUCUUAGAUAGCUACUUCAAUAGCACUUCAAUACUUUAAAUUUUGUCUUUAGAAUUUUAAAGUAACAAUACUUAUGAAUUUGGUUGAAGACCACUAUUUUAUAUACUAGUUCAAAAAUAACUAAGUCACCCUUAAACUCUCUUGUUAGCUUGCUAGCUCAUACUCUAAGUGGUGCACAUGCUUACCUUAAACCUUCACACGUGGCCCAUUAAGUAAACUUAGAAAAUUUUGGGGAAGUUUCCUUACUUCUUCUCACCUAAUCUUUCAUCUCGCGUAGUACCUUAAUCUCAUAGUACCACAUAAACGUCAAGAAAUCUUAUCGCGUAAUCUUUCCUCAACACCUAAUUUACUUAAUUGUCAACAUCUUAUCGAAUAGACUGCUCAAAACGUCCUCUUUGGAACACUUAGCUAAUGAUUCAACCUUUCUUAGAUACAAGUCUUAUACUUCCCCUUAGUCCAGAGAAUUUCAUUCUAGUCUAAAAAGUCUAAGAUAGUCAAUAAAUCAAAAUAUGAUCAAAACUAUCAACAAUAUUCCAGUUCAAUACAUAUCCACUAUAUAUAAUCAUUCUAGUACAUAUCUCAGUUCAGUCAUCAAUGUAGCAAGCCAUCAAUACAUUUUAGGGUAAUUAUAAUUGAUGACCAUUUUAUGAAUAAUACUUAAGGAUAUAGCAACAUUUAAAAAGAAAUUACAAAUAUAGCAAAACUAUCGGUGAUAAACUUCUAUCAUUGAUAGAAUUUCAUAAAUUUUGCUAUAUUUGCAAUUUUUUAAAAAUGUCACUGUAUACUUAAUUAUUUUGCAUCUAAUGGCUAAAUUUGCAACUAUCCCUACAUUUGAACACUACUCAUCAAUAGUCAAAUCAUCUUAUACGGUACAUUUAAACUUCAUUCUAAGGUUCGGUAGUAGAAAUUCGUUACCUCAAGAUUAGCUAGCAAUCCUUGGUUGACAGUCAAUUUUCUUAAUUAAAUUAGUCCUAAACAUAAAGGGAAAGUAAUAAUAACUUUACUUUAACAAAAUAAUCUCACCUAAUUCCAAAAAUUAAUUUGCUAAGCACAAAAAAUGAUAUUUGAUGGGAAAAACCAAAACCCAUUCAAAAGCUUACUGAAAACCCCUAAAUGUUGGCUCAAAAGGUUUAAAAAGAAGUUGCAAUGGCUUGGCUUACGUGGCUCGAGUAACAAAGGGAGAUCGACUCAGAUCUGGGAUGCAGCUUAGAUGUGGCUACGCAGCUCGGUGAGGGAGAAAGCAUACAUGUGUGUCUCAGUUGGGAGAGGAGAAGACCGACUUAUAAUAUAAACGUGCAUCUAAGAGGGGUGGAAGCUUCGUCUUUCGACUCGAGAAUGGAAGAAAACACACUGAUCAUGCGACUUGAGUCCACGAUAGAGAGGAAGCACUUGUCGAAGGUCGAAUAGUGAACUAGUGGGAUGCUCAGGCUCUUGAGACGUGGAGGCUUGACGAAAACUGUGUGACGGUAAACAACUGCUAUGGUUGGUGAGCUACACGUGUUACGACUGAUAGGAGAGGAGGUUGUAGCGGUGAACGGGGGCAAGAAAGUUUAACGGUCAGAGAAACCCUGAUGAUGGCGGUGGCUAGUAUUGAAACAUGAGGGAGAAUAAUGGAGAAGGAGAAAGGGUUUGCAUGCAAAUCUAGGUCUCUUUUCUUUUAAUAAUAUACUACUACUACUACUAGUACAUCCCACACAAAAUGAACUUCAGACUAGAGUUCGAAUUAGAGUUUAUAAAUAUAUAUUACAAUGCAAGCAAUCUAAACAUCUUCCAAAUCUGUUAGUGAUAAAAAUAAAUCACUGAAAGAUCUUUAAGCAAUAUCACAAAAAAUAUGCACAUUAAACUAAAGUAUCUACUAACAUCCCUAAACAUACUCCAAGUUUAUCUAUGAAAGCAUUUAUCAUUGAUAGACUAAAACAUUCACCAACACACCUUAACGCAAACAAACAGAUUAGCAUGCCGAAAAACAAGUUCAACAUCCCUACACAAACAAGUUUAACAUUCUCCAAAUCUAUCAAUUAGUGAUAGAAACAUAUCACUGAUAGACUCUAAGCAACAUCACACAAAAAGUGUACUUUAAACUAGAGCUUUUACUAACUUCCCAACAUAAACAAGUUAAACAUAUUCAAGUUGAUAGAAACAUCACUGGUAGAACUUUAAACAACAACACAUAAAAAUGUACAUAAAACUAAAUUAUCUACUAACAUUCCAAUGCAAACAAACAAAACAUCUCUCAAGUCUAUCAAUGAUAUAUAAACAUAUCACAAAUAGACGUUAACCCUCAGUAACAACACAACACAAUGAAACAAAAAAUGAAGAAACCGAUUUCAAACAAAUAAAAAAAGAGGAAAAUCUAUUUAAAACUUAUUACGACCAAACAGAAAACAAAAAGUGUAUCUGGCUUGUUGUAGAGGCAUUUUCAUCUUUUCCUAAUUGAUAAAUUCGUAUUCGAACAAAAGAAGCUCUAGAUGUUUCUCAAAUGUUAAAUUUGUAUUCCCUUCUUGUAAUUUCCAUUUUUUCCACUAAAAUUAUCUAUAAAUGCAAAACAAAUCAACGUACUGUAAUUAACCAAUGUUUUAAAUCUAUUUUUUUUGGUAACAAUUAAUUUAAAAGCUGCCAACAAUCUCACCAUAACCUAACCAUACUUCAGUCAUUCAUAUACAUUGACAAAUAGGCACGACAAUAAAUGUACCAUUAUGGUCAUUUAUUAACUAUACAAAACCAAAACCUAACUUUUCUUUUUAUCUUGAAAUUUGACAAUUGGUGGUGUGCUAAGGUGUUAUUGUGCCUAACCUACGUCUCCCUUUCUCAAUCUACCAUCUUAAUUAUAUUUAUACUUCAAUUUUAGAAGUCAAUUACUGAAGUAUGACAAAAACAAUUGACAGAUUCCAACCUUUAAUGCUCAUAUACUAAAAGCUUUCCCAUCGGUAAGAUAUCACUUUCCAUGACGAACUUCUAAUAAUAUUGCAACAUAAUUUAGUCUUUCAUAUUAAACGUUCGAAUCAUUAUUUGGUAGAUUAAUAAUUUGAGGGGUAUCCACUACAUAAAAUAAAUAAAUAAAACUUAUUAAGUAUAUUUGGGAGUCCUUCCUGCCUCAAAGAUGAACUUAUGAGUGACUUAUUAAAAUUAAUUUUUAUAUUAUAAGUUAUUAAAAAUGUAAGAAAUAAACCCUAAAUCCUAAACCCUAAAAAGUAAAAAUCAGUUUUCCGAAAUUAUUUAAUUGGAAGUUUGUUUUGUAAAACUAUUUAAUCAUACAAUGUUUCCAUAUUUUAUUUAGUUUCAAUCAAAGAAAAAUUAUUGUAAACAAAAAAUUGUUGAAAUAUUUAUAAGUCUAUCUUGGAAGGAGGAUCAUUUUUCUAUAUUUCAAAAGUAAAAGUAUUUUUUAACGUUAAUUAUUAAAGAAUCAUAUUAAAAUAAAAUUUUUAAAAAAUCACAUUAUCGAGGAAUACAACAAAAUUUAUAAAAAAUUACAAAUAUAGCAAAACUAUCGCUGAUAGACUUGUAUUUUGCUCAUAGACUCGUAUGGUCUAUCAGUGAUAGACCAAUAUUUGCAACAUGAUGUAUCGGUGAUAGACUUCUAUCAUUGAUAGAAUUUGACAAACUUUGUUAUAAUUACAAUUUUUUUUAAAUGUUGCUAUAUACUUAAUUAUUUUGAAUUUGAUUGUUAAAUUUUCAACCAUCCCUUAAAAGUAUUAUUAGUUGAAAUAAAAAAAAAAUUGAGGUCUUGAUUUUCUAGAAUUCUCGUGUAGACGAUCAAAUUUUUCUAGACUUAGUCUCAAGAAAAAAAAUGAAUUUAUAAAAUUUAUAAAAGAAAAAAAAAACUUCCUUCGUAUAAAAGCUAUUUCUACGACUAACGUUGAAAAAAUGUAAUAAUUUCUCACAUUUUUAGGUGAUAGAUUUCUUUUUUACAAAUCUAAUAUAGCUUAAUUGAUGAAAUAAUUCCAUCAUAACUUAUUUGGCUUAUUUUUUUUUAAGGGUGUUCUAGGGUGGUAAUACUUUUUCAUACAUAAACAACUCUCCUGAACUCUUUGUUAAUUUACUAAUUUUGUUUACUUCUGUUUUUCAAAUCGUCCUAAAAGAGCUUAGUACUUACUUCAUUUAUUUUUUUAAAAUUAACUAUUUUUUAGUAUAUGAUGUGAUCGAAUUGAACUCUUUGUUAAUUUAUUAAUUUUGUUGAUCCUCGUAAAAGAGGUUAGUGGUUACUUCAUUUAUUUCUUUUAUAAUUAACUAAUUUUUAGAAUAUGUUGCACAUCAUCCCACAGUCACAUGAAAACAAAGUAGAAAAAGAAACAAUGAUGUUUAUUUCUCUUGAUAGUCAAUUAUCUUGAGAAAAACUACUUUAACGAAUACUUGACAUGAGCUAAAAUUGAUUUUUGGAAGAAUUAGUUUGCACAUGGUUUUUGUUGAAUUGAUUAACUGUCAAUUAAAAAAGGUUAUCCUAAUUCAAUUUUGUUAAAUUUUGUUGUUUGAUAAUUUAUGAAACAAUUCAGAUCUCCGAUAUUUCUUUGUGACUUAAUAACAUCAUCCUUACUUAUCUUAAAGACUUAUUAAAGUGAAAGUCGCUCUCACAAGUUAACAUGAGUUCAUGCCUUGUCCUCACUUACAUGCAUCUUAGAAAAAUUCUCAAGAGGUCACUUACAUGCUUAGUUUUGGAGUUUCUAUGAUCGAGCCACCAAAAAGGAAGGUACACCUUGUUGUUAUAGAUAUUAACAUUUAAUUGUUUUAAGUCUUUCUUAACCUUAUUUUCAUGACUCUGAGAUCCUUCUAAUUCAGAUGUGGUAUCGGUUCAUUCAUGUCCUCCUCCUAAACUCAAGGCGUUAGAGUAAUGUCCAAAAAAAUUAGGGUAAUUUUUUUACUUUAUUAUAUAUCUUGAAUAAUUUAUGAUUAUAUUAUGAGUGUUAGAUUAAUUGGAAUCGAAAGUUAAGAAAUUUAUUUGGUUUAAUGUCUUGGAUUAACAAAGUAUAUAUAUAUGGGUAUUUAUAUUUAAUUAAAAAAUUUCAAAUUUGAUUGAGAGAAUGUUAUUAAUUAUAUAAUAAAACUAUAAUUAAUUAAUGAGUGAAAAUUGAUAAUUAUAUAUUAGUUGUCAUUUAGUUAUGAUUUCUCCCUUCAUUGCGUAGAGAAAAGGUUUAUAUUUCAACCCUUCAUAGUUAAUACGAAGAAAAAUGUGUAGGGUUUUCAUAAUUCUAAGAGUUACAAAGCAAAAUAUUUUUCCACUGGCUAAAUCUGGAACGCAACUUCCAUUCCCAAAUUUUCUUCGAACGCAAGAACUUUGACAUUCUUUAAUUUGAGAACUACUGGUGUUUGAGCAAGUUGAGUUACAAACUAAUGGUAGAGAGUGUCCUACCUUCACUUCCACAUCUACAACAACAUCAAAUAAUUCAAAUAAAAAUUAGUUUUUCAUUGAUUGGGACAUGAAACUCUUUAGGAAUGAUCUUAUGUAAUUUCCAUUUCUUUCUUAUUUGUACCAAAAAAAAUCACUUAGAAAUUUGUAGUAACAGAGAAAAAAUUAGCACUUCUUACCCGAGUAAACACAAACGGAAAGCACAACCAUUGUAGUGAGAAAGAUCUAGAAAAACUUUUGUGCAUUCAUCUUUUCGUAAGCCAAAUCGUUUUCUUGCAAUGUGAUAUUAGCUUUUGAAUUAAACUCACUUUUAUAUAGUAGUUUUGUAUUAAAUUUUGGUUCAUGAAUGUUCUUAGAUUCUCGAUAUUAAAAGCCAAAACUUUAAAUUGCUUCAAAGUUGUUCAAGCGUAUGGUUGGGAUGUUUAGCUAAAUUGUUAAUUUAUUUUUGAAGGUGUUGGAAGUAGCGUUGGGUCCCUUGAAUUCACAACCAAUUUGUGAAUUUUUUAGGGUUUGGUUCGCCAAUAUCUUGGUAUGUUAGAACUUACAUUGAGGAAAGUAAGUGAGAUAUGUAUUGUGAAAGUAAUCAAGUUUCGUAUUGUUAUGCUUAGGAUUACUUCGUGGACGUUAGUUGAUUAAGGAGCUUCCCUAACUUUGAGGUAAGGGACUUUCUACUGGACUCACCUAAAGUUUUGAGUUGUGUUGACUGUAUGGUUACAUCGAAACUUAGUAGGAAUGAUGGUUAUGAUAUACACAUUUGGUUGCAGACUAAAUGUUUAGUGUAUAUCAUGUUUAAUUGGAUAUAUAUAUAUAUUCAUAUAUUUAUGUAUGGAUUGAUGUGGAUUGUUGAAUGUAUACUGUGAAUGACUGAAGUUAUGCAUAUACAUAACUUGACGUAGAUUUGAUGUUGAAUAUAUAUGGAGAUUGUCUGGGAUUAAACAUGCAGGUGUGGAUGUAGACAGGAUGAUAUUAGUAUACUGUGCUGUAUAAAAUUUUGGAUGUGAACUGGAGAAUUUGUUUUGGUUGGAUGUGGAUUAUACUAAACUGUGGUUUGUACUGGUAAAUUGAGGGGUGUUAUGACCUUGUAGUUUGUUUGACUGAUGAAUUAAAAUGUUAUCAACGGUCUUUGGACUAAAGUGGAAUAGGUUGAUUGAUAGAAUGUUAAGUGAAAGAACUUUAUAUUUUGAAGUAACGGAGAGGUGUUAUAAAUGAUUGCUAAAUGUUUAGAAUGGACUGAGGGGUAAAUUGUUGACUUUUAUUGGGAUGUGUGCCUUGUAGGUGUCCUACGAGAUCACCAAUUAUUAUGUAUCCUUCGGGAGCAUUAGACUGAUAUGUGUUUAUGUAGAACACUAGACUGAAAUGUACGUCCCUCGGACGUUAGACUGAUACGUGUAUCCUAAGGGAUCACAAGACUGUGACUGUGCAGGGUAUCCCAAUAGAACGUUAACAAUUUAUUUUCCCCUAACGGGACCAGUAGUGGGUCUCUUACUGAAUAUUUUUAUACUCACCCUUUUAUGUUUAAUUUUUCAAGCAAAGGUAAUGAAGGUGGCAAACCGGCGAGGGGCAGGAAGGAAGCGUGAUCGCCGUAGGGGACACUUUAAAUUCGCUUCCGCUUAGUGAUUUACAAUAUUGUUUUGUUUUCGUACUUGAGACUGUUUAGAAAAUUUGAGGUUUAAAUGCAUUCAAAGACUAGAAACUUAUUAGUUUAAUUUUCUUGAAAGUUUUGGUUAUUUUAAAUUGGGCCCAAACAAAACAUCCACCAACCACAAGCUUUUCAAAAAUUAUUCUGCUUCUGUAAUUGCACUAAAUUUUAGUGCUUUAUGUUAGUAUUUUGUGUUGUUUACAUUUUGGCUUAUCUCUAGCCUUCCUGUAAUUUGGACACCUUCCUCGGUGCUUUAUUGAAUAUAAUCUUGCGGAUGAUGAGGGCGUUAAGAGGGUGCCCACCUAGUGGAAAUGCUUGAAUGCGCCUACUGACCUAUCACUUUCUAAAAAAACGAAAUGUUUUUAUGUUAAAGUAAGGACCUUAACUUAGUCUGAAAAGUUGGGUUGUUACAGUUACACACCGAUUCCAAAAAUUUAAUUUUAACUCAAUCACUUUUUCUCAAAUUAUUUAACAUACCAUGAUCUGUAAGGAUUUGUUACACAAGGCAAAAAAACAUAGGUUGGCUCAAUCGUCCUACUAAAAGCACAUUUCAAAAUUUAUCUAAAAUAAGCAAGAUAACCUUUAUCAUUUUGACUAUAAAAUAAAUGGCUAUCCUUAGUACUCUAGUACUGAUAUCAAUAUUGUCAAAAGUUUAAUUAAAGCACUAUUUACCUUUUUUGUUUUCUUGUUGAUCUUUCCAUUAUUAAUAGCUUCUAUGUGCAUUUGUUGACAGAAAAAAUAUUGAUUCUAAUGGCAGCCAAAAGCAAGAUUUUGAUUGUGGGAGGGAGUGGCUAUGUUGGUAAGUUUAUGGUGGAAGCAAGUGCCAAGGCUGGCCAUCCAACCUAUGUUCUUCUUAGACAUUCUACUCUCUCCAACCAUUCCAAGUCUCAUAUUGUCAACAAUUUCAAGACCUUGGGGGUCCAUUUUCUCUUUGUAAGUUUGUUUUGUGUUUUGCUUUUCUUUUUGUCAUUUGCCAAUGGACUUCUCCAUAUCUCAGACCACCAUUCUUGAGUCAAAUCACUCCGAAAAACUUCCAUUUGUAUUUUAGUCUUUAGAGUUAUGUCCACUCAAUUUCUAGACUAAUAAUUGUAUAGCGUAAAUAUUGAACUUUCAGAUUUUUUUCAAAGAAUAUGGUGCAAAAUAAUUUCCAAUUUUAGUCAACUAAAAUCAUAAUUAAUUUUCACGAGUCAAUCAAUUUAGUUCUUUCAUUGUGAUAUUUGUCUUUAGAAAAUCGAAAAGAAGUGUAUGAAACAAAAAGAAGUGUAUGAAACAAUGGAUGGCGUGGGUUUUUUAGUUUUUUGACCUCAAACUAUUGUGCAGGGUGAUUUAUAUGAUCAUGAGAGUUUAGUUAAGGCAAUUAAAGAAGUGGAUGUGGUGAUAUCAACCGUAGGGCAUGAUCAAUUACCUGAUCAAUGUACACUCAUCUCUGCCAUCAAAGAAGUUGGCCAUAUUAAGGUCAUACAUAUAUAUAUAAUUUGAUCUUUUCUUUUUCUUAUUUCUUUGUUUGUUUAUUUAUGGUUCUUCUAAUUUUGUCUCAUAUAGUUUUGGUUUAAACUUUACUUUACUUGUUAGAGUUCAAGUUCAAAAUUAAAUCAACUUAGCUUUUCUAGUUUGUUGAGUUUCCAAUGAAUAAACACUUAUCUCUGAAAUUAUAGUAAUUGAGGUGAAAAUAAUAAUGUCAGAAGAACAAUUGGAAUAGGAAGAUUUGAUCGGACUUUGUGCUCAUCAAUGUACUUGAAUGACAGUUGAGUUAAGCUCUUCUUACCAAUAUCAUUUACCAAUGAAAAACAAAAAGACACAGUAGGGUUUCAAUUAAGUUUAUGCUAAUUUGUUUUGCACAUACUUGCAAUAUAAUAUCUUUUAGAGAGAAAAAAAAAUAAUUGACAUGUUUUAAAUGAUGAGUUUUGUAGGGAAUGUAAAAAAAGUUAGAAACGAUCUGUGAUGAACAAUAAUAGGGAUUUGAAUUGGAAAAAAGUGGCAUGACGUUAAGUUAAAAAAACUAGGGGAGGAGUAGGUAGGAAAUUAACACAUAUAUGUUUGAAUGAGUAGUUGAUGAAGAGGUUUUGGGCUUUGGGUGUAUAGAGAUUCUUCCCAUCAGAAUUUGGGAAUGAUGUGGAUCGUGUACGUGGUGUUGAGCCAGCAAAAUCAGCUUUUGCUGCAAAGGCUAAAGUUCGUAGAGCUUUGGAGGCUUCAAGGAUUCCUUAUACAAUUGUUUCCUCUAAUUUCUUUGAUGAUUGGUUUCUGUCAAGUUUGGCUCAACCUGAACCUUCUACUCCACCGUUUCCACCUAGAGAUCGAGUUUUUAUCAUUGGAGAUGGAAAUCCCAAAGGUAACAUUUUCUCUUUCACUAUUUAUUUACAUGUUGGAUGUGUUUCUUACGGUUAGAUCAAUGUUUUGAAUGUUUUGAUUCACCAACCAUGCUUUCUUACUCAUAAUAGAUUGUUUUUCUCUUUGUUCAUAUAUGAAAGGUAGUGUUUGUGAACUAUUUUGUGUCGAUUUUUAUUGUUUUUGUUUUCUCUUUUUUUUUGUUGUGGAUUUUUGUUUAGAAAUUUGUAUUAUAUGUUACUACAAUAAAUGUCUUCUUAUUUCUUUACUUUUACGUAGCAAUGAUAUUUUUUUUCUAUAAUUCAAACUUCAUUUCAAGUCGAUGUUCCCUUCACCUAUCACUAAGAUCUUAACUUUUUAGUUUUUAAAAUUUGGCUUGAUUUUUUAAAUCAUUGGUAAAAAGGUAAAUAACAAAUAAAGAAAUUUGAGAGGAAAAGUCGUGCCUAUAGAUUUUAAUUUUAAAAAAAAAAAGAAAAAAAAAAUCAAAUAGUUAUUAAACAAUACGUUAAUUAGUUUUGUUUGUUCCAUGUUGGUUUUCUAUUUUAUUUUUUAAGCUUAUUUAUUUUCUCAUAUUGUUAGCAAUAUUCAACAAGGAAGAAGACAUUGCAACUUACACAAUUAGAACUGUGGAUGAUCCAAGAACUUUAAACAAAAUCGUUUAUGUUAGACCUCCUAAAAAUAUUUACUCCUUCAAUGAUCUUGUCUCUCUUUGGGAGAAUAAAAUUGGCAAAACCCUCCAGAAAAUCUAUAUUCCAGAGGCUCAAGUGCUGAAGAACAUUUCAGGUUAGUUUUGUUUUUCUUUUGUAUUUUAUGAGCAAUAAUUAUAGCUUUUAGAAGAAAUGCUUUGAUUUCUUGAGUACGUUUGAAGUCUAUAUGUCUAUUUAGUAGUCUACAUGUGCAGUUUAAAAAUGUCUUUGGUCUUGGUGAUAUUUGUUCGCCAACACACGAGAAACUCUAUUUUCUAUUAAUAUAUUAAAAAACCAAACCAAUUUAUGAAAAAUUUAAAAGAACAGACAGCUCAGUUGAUUCUUCUUUAAAAAAGAAAGUAAGAACUAAUCAUAGCAAAAGUGAGAGGAACAACCAUAAAUUUCAAAAACAAAAAACAUGAAAAUUGUUAUUUAACAAAACUAAACCGUGGUAAACAAAUCGAGUCUAAAUGUUUACCCUCUUGUUAUUUGUUCUUGGCAGAGGCUGAAUAUCCCCUAAACAUGAGGCUAGCACUUUAUCAUUCUGUAUUCGUGAAGGGAGAUCAAACCUAUUUUGAUAUUGAUCCAUCAAUUGGAGUGGAAGCCACAGCUUUAUAUCCAGAUAUUAAAUAUACAACUGUUGAUCAAUUUCUCAAUAAGUUUGUUUGAAUAACAAAAAGAAAAUGUUUUCAUCUUCCAUACCAUCUAAUUAAUUUACUUAAAUAAGUGAUGGAAGACUUUGGAUCUUCCUUUUGUUUGUGUGUUUUGUAUUAUGCUAAGUGAACUUGGGUUUUAUGGGCCAUCUUCUCUUCCGUGAAAUGUAUACGUUUUUAAGUUAUACUUAAUUGCAUUCUCGUUUAGUGUGUGUUUGGGAUUGCAUUUUGCAGUGAUUUAAUUAAAAAAUAAGUUGAUUUGAAAAAAACGUUACACGGCACCUAAAAUAAAUUUUGAAAAAAUGAAUUUAUAAAAUAAUGUGGUUUAGGAUAAACACCUAAAACUACUAUAACAAAACCGAACCUAAUGUUAAAAUUCGCGUUUUUGAUGGAAAAAGAUGAAAUUUUUCGGAUUCGAAGAAUUGAUGACAGUUUUUAACUGUCAUAAACCUAUGACAAUUUUUAAAUGUCAUUAAAUAUAAAUAAUAAAAUAUAGUUUUCAUUCAAAAUUAUUAAAAUAUAAUUUUCUCCCUUAAUUUCCCUCCAACUUUUCAUUAAAAAUUAUUAAAAUAUAAACUUACUUUUGUUUUCCCUUUCUUCUUUAUCAUCGUCCUGAUAGAACCCAAAAAAUCGAACCUUAAUUAACCUCAUUCUUCUCCAUCUCCAUGAACUUUCUUCUCAGCGACGGAGAUCCACGACGACAUCGAAUCUAAUUAACGUUUCGAAGACAACGACCCACACUCGUUUUCUCAUCGACGGCGACCCACACUCGUUUUAAAGAUUUCGAAGACAGGUUAGUGUUUAAUACCUUUCACUUUUGUCUUUCCCUUUUAUGAGUUUAAUCAGUAGGUGUAAGAAUUGGAACAAAACUUCACAUUUUGUUUGAUGUAACAAUUUAAUUUAAUAGGGAGGAAGUUCGGACAGUGGUAGAAGGCCCUCUGAUAUGUUCUUAUACUUUUUUUUUUUGUGGUUUUUAUUUUUUAUCUUAUCAAUUUAAUUUCAACUUUAACCAUGCAAAAUUUCACAUUUUUUCAUAAUUUGCUAUUUAAUUUGAUUAUGAAUGGUUUGUUUAACCCAGAAGUAGACAUUAAAAUACACGUAGAUGUUUUACUCUUACCUUAGCCAAAAUCAAUAUAUCAAAAUCAAAGUUUUUAUACAAUAACCUAUCUACAAAAUCUCGAUUGAAUUUCUUAAUUGAGAAUUAUAAAUAUUAUACAUCAACAAAAGUUACCUUGAAAUUACUAAGUGCAGAUUUUGUAGAUAUAUGGUAAAAAAAAUUAUCCAUAAAACUUUACGAUCAUGAAUUUUAAGAAAGAUAAUGUCAUUAUUCAUGAUCAUCAUUAACGUUGAUUUAGUUAUGAUUUCUCCAUUUAUUGCCCAGAGAAAAGGUUUAUAUUUCAACCCCUUUUUCUAUUAACAUAGUUAAUAAGGUUAUGAAGAAAAAUGUGUGGGGUUUUCAUAAUUCUAAGAGUUACAACAGCAAAGUAUUUUUCCACUGGCUGAAUCUGGAACGCAACUUCCACUCCCAAAUUUUCUUCGAACGCAAGAACUUUGACAUUCUUUAAUUUGAGAACUACUGGUGUUUGAGCAAGUUGAGUUACAAACUAAUGGCAGAGAGUGUCCUACCUUCACUUCCACAUCUACAUCAACAUCAAAUAAUUCAAAUGAAAGUUAGUUUUUCAUUGAUUGAGACAUGAAACUCUUUAUGUAAUUUCCAUUUCUUUCUUAUAAUUUGUACCCAAAAAAUUCACUUAGAAAUUUAUAGUAAUAGAGAAAAAAUUAGCACUUCACUUCUUACCCGAGUAAACACAAACGGAAAGCACAACCAUUGUAGUGAGAAAGAUCCAGAAAAACUUUUGUGCAUUCAUCUUUUCGUAAGCCAAAUCGUUUUCUUGCAAUGUGAUAUUAGCUUUUGAAUUAAACUCACUUUUAUAUAGUAGUUUUGUAUUAAAUUUUGGUUCAUGAAUGUUCUUAGAUUCUCGAUAUUAAAAGCAUAAAUACAUAACAAACUAAUAUUUAUUUCCUUUCGUACAAAUACAUGCAUAUUUUCUUAGCUAGGAAAGCAUGCAUAUUACAACAAUAAUUUCACACGUUAGAUAAGAUGCAUGCAUUUAUGGUCCAAUUGUAACCUAAGUUUUCACCUACGUUCAUGGGAGGGAGGGAUGGACCUCAUUUUUCAAGUCCUGAAAUCAACACUUUAAUAAAACUACACCAUACUAUCAUAGAUUUACAUAUAGAAAAAUUAUAGCAAAUGACACAAUUUAGGAAACUGAAAAGAAGCGUAGGGUGUGGAUUUUUUGUUUAGGAAACUGAAAAGAAGCGUAGGGUGUGGACUUUUUUAGUCUUUUAUCAUAAUUUUUCUUCAGUUAUAUAUGCAAUUAUUUUAUUCUUGUACUAUACAUAUUUUACUUUAGUGUCAUCGAUGUAAUUUGCCAUUUUAAGAACCUUGAAUUUUUACUAUUAUAAUAUAUUUUAAUAUUACAUAUUUGGUAAUAAAAUUAACAUAUAAUUAUUAAAUAAUUAAGUAAUUACAUGUGAGAUUACUUUAGAGUCGAAAUUCCAACCAAUUUUCCUUCUAAUACUAUAUUCAACAAAAUUGAUCCAUUCUCGAUCAAUUAUUACUAAACUUCAUUUGAUCGUAAAAACCCACAACACAAGGCUUAAAUCGAACCAUAGUGAAACAAAUCAAGAAGUGAAUAAACAAAAACUUGGACAUGUGAAUACCAUAUCUAAUUAUUACCGUUAUAAAAUUAAAUUAUUGAGUAUUUGUGAUGAUGCUAAUACACUGUAAGCCAUUAUUUUGUAAUAAUGAAUUAUUUCACGUGGCAAUAUAUGAUCUCUUACUUUGGGUCAAGGACCCACAUAUGCAGAUGUUAUGUCAUCGAACCUGGGUUACCAAUUAUUUCUCGUGUUCUGAUAAUUGCUUUUACUAUUUGUUACUUUACUUGUUCUUUUAGUUAUUGUAGAUACCGUAUUUUGUCGUAUUUUUUUUCAUUUAUUUAUUAUUUUUUAAAAGAAUUUGAAUUUGAAUUUAAAUUUAAAUUUUAAAUCUUAAAUCUUAAUUCUUAAAUGUUAAAUUUAUGUUUUUUUUUUUAAAAAAACACAUUUAAAUUUUAAAAGUAAAAGUUUUUUUUUCUCUCCUUAUUUUUCUCAACCAUCCCCUGUUUUUCUUGGUCACCAUGUUCCAGCUAGGGGAGAAUGAGAGGAUUUUUUGCUCGGGAUUUUUUUGGUGCCAGGAGAAUUUUUUUGCUGGGAGGAUUAUUUGAUAGAGAAGAGGGACACGUAAAAGAAAUUUUUUUUAGGAAGAGGUGAAGAGGAUCAACACACAACUUCUUGCAUUUAAGGCAGACCUGUAGGUUCUUUUCUUUUAUUCAUGCUUGAUGAUACUGAAUUAAUUAUUUGGCACUCAUUUGGGUGCUGUCUUAAUUAUUCAUUUAAAUUAGUAGUUAAUUAGUUUCUGUGUUAAUCAUUUGGCACACAUUUGACAUCUUUUAAUAUUUGCAUCAUUUUAAUCAUCUGACACCCAUUUGAUCUCUUUUAAUUAUUUGACACCCAUCCCACAUUCAUUCUGUGUAAAUUACUUACACCUAUUUCUGCAUUAAUUAAUUAACAUCCUGGCAAUACCCAUUUUUCAUUUGGCCUAUUAAUUAAUUAGCACAUGUCAUAUUGUUUUUAAUUUUUGGCAUCUUGAGUUAAUUAUUUGACAUCCAUUUGGCCAUUUGACUAUUUUGAUUGUUGAGUUCUGCAUCUAGUUAAUUAAUUUGACACCAAUUUGACUAUUUGGUUGUUGCGCUGAUUAAUUAGUUGUUUUGCAUCUGUUUAAUUAUUUGACAUCCAUUUGGCUACUGAUGGAUUAAUUAUUUGGCAUCCAUUUGGGUGCUAUGUUAAUUAUUUCAUUUGGUUAAUUAAUUAAAUGAUGUGUUAAUUAUUUGAUUGCUGUCUUAAUUAUUUAGCACCCAUUAGACACCCAUUUGGCAUACUGACUUAAUUAUUUGCUAUCUUUUUAAUUGUCUAGCCACUCAUUUUACGUUAUGUGUUAAUUGUGUGUAUACAUUUUGUAUCUUGCGUUAAUAAUUAUCAAUUUGACAUAUGUGUUAAUUAUGCAUUUGAAAUUAAUUAUUCAUUUGACAUACACUCUUAAUUAUACAUUGUUAAUUAAUUAGCACUAUGUAUUUGACAGUUUUAAUUUUUAAUUAUUUGCACAUCUUUAAUUAUUUUGGCACUCAUUUGGCCUUUUAUGUCAAUUACUCAUUCGAAUUAUUUGCAUUCUGUAUUAAUUAAUUAAUCACCAUGCAUAUUGCUAAAAUUAUUUGACAUCCAUUUGACUACCGUGAUUAUUUAUUGGCAUCUUGCAUUAAACCUACUUUGGCACUAUGCAGUUAAUUAUUAUUUCACAUCCUCGUCGUCUGGCCUGAUUAAUUAUUUUGCAUAGUUCUGAAUUAAUUAAGUAUUUUGCAUAUUUCUGAAUUAAUUAAUUAUUUUGCAUAUUUCUGAAUUAAUUAAUUAUUUUGCAUAUUUCUGAAUUAAUUAUUUUUCAUAUUUUUGAAUUAAUCAAUUAUUUUUCAUAUUUCUGAAUUAAUUAAUUAUUUUGCAUAUUACCCUUCAAGUAUUUUUCAAAUUUCAUAAUGUUUUGUCAUUGUUAUUAUUCAUUUUCCAGUUGAAAUAUAAAAAUAUAAAUUGGACAAAAGUAUUGUUUUUUAUGGAUUUUAUAAUUUAAAUUCCAUGAAUACAUGAAAUUUUUCUGUUUGAAAUUUUAAUUAAUAAAUUGUUUUUAAAUAAACACAUUUCAUAUUUUAAAUGAGACUGAGUAGUGUUUUCUAUGAAUUUAUUAAUUCUAGAUACAUGAAAUUUUUCAUUAAACACUUAUGAUAGAGAUUAAAAUAUCAAAUUUUGGUAUCUUAAUAUUCUUAAGGUGAAUAAAAAAAAUCUUUUAAAACAAAAACAAACUUCAUUUUUUAAUGGCUCCUAUGCCACCCAUAAUUAUCAAUUCAUGCUUCAAUAUGAAUUGAUAAACAUGAGACAUUUAAACAAAACCUAAAUAAAAACUUUGUUUUGUGAACCCUUAUAUUUAAUUUAAAAGAUAAAAUUGGCUAACCAUUUUGUGGGUGUUGUAGAGUGCUAACACCUUCCCUACACACAACGGACUCCCGAACUUAAAUCUCUGAAUUUACGUAGACUAUUUUUUUUCUUUUUUGGGUGACCAAUCACACCUUAAUAUGAUUGGUGGCGACUCCAAAACUAUUUAUUUAUUAAAAUUAAAUAAACGGGGAGGUCGGCCGCUCUGCGUAGCGAUCACGUCGCAACAACUUGGCGACUCCACUAGGGACAUUGCAAUGUGUAAGAGAGUCAAGCCAGUACAUUUUUAUCUUUUAUUCUUAUUAUAUUAUAAUAUGUUUGGUUCACUUAAUUAUUUGUUUUUUUAUUGAUUCAUAUGCAAUAUUUUGUAUUAUGAAUUAAUAAACAUUGAAUAUGAAUUGAUAUGAAUUGAUAAACAUUGGACAUUUUAACAAAACCUAAAUAAAAACUUUGUUUUGUGAACCAUUAUAUUUAGUUUAAAAGAUAAAAUUGGCUAACCAUUUUGUGGGUGUAAUAGAGAAAAAAUUUAUAGUAAUAGAGAAAAAAUUAGCACUGCUUACUCGAGUAAACACAAAUGGAAAACUCUUUAUGAAUGAUUUUAUGUAAAUUGCAUUUCUUUCUUAUUUGUAACAAAAAAAUUCACUUAGAAAUUUAUAGUAAAGGAGAAAAAAUUAGCACUUCUUACCGGAGUAAACACAAACAGAAAGCACAACCAUUGUAGUGAGAAAGAUCCAGAAAAACUUUUGUGCAUUCAUCUUUUCGUAAGUCAAAUCGUUUUCUUGCAAUAUGAUAUUAGCUUUUGAAUUAAAAUCUCGAUUGAAUUUCUUAAUUGAGAAUUAUACAUCAAGAAGCAAGAAAAGUUACCUUGAAGUUAAUAUUAGUGCAGAUUUUGUAGAUAGUAAAAAAAUUAUCUAUAUCACUAUACAAUCAUGAAUAUUUAUAGAAAGAUAAUGUCAUUACUCAUGAUCAUCAUUCGUGUUCAUUUAGUUAUGAUUUCUCCAUUUAUUGCGUAGAGAAAAGGUUUAUAAUUUCAACCCUUUUUCUAUAACAUAGUUAAUAAGGUUAUGAAGAAAAAUGUGUGGAGUUUUCAUAAUUCUAAGAGUUACAACAGCAAAGUAUUUUUCCACUGGCUGAAUCUGGAACGCAACUUCCACUCCCAAAUUUUCUUCGAACGCAAGAACUUUGACAUUCUUUAAUUUGAGAACUACUGGUGUUUGAGCAAGUUGAGUUACAAACUAAUGGCAGAGAGUGUCCUACCUUCACUUCCACAUCUACAUCAACAUCAAAUAAUUCAAAUGAAAGUUAGUUUUCCAUUGAUUGAGACAUGAAACUCUUUAUGAAUAAUUUUAUGUAAUUUUCAUUUCUUUCUUAUUUGUAACAAAAAUAAUCAAUUAGAAAUUUAUAGUAAUGGAGAAAAAAUUAGCACAUCUUACCAGAGUAAACACAAACAGAAAGCACAACCAUUGUAGUGAGAAAGAUCCAGAAAAACUUUUGUGCAUUCAUCUUUUCGUAAGUCAAAUCGUUUUCUUGCAAUAUGAUAUUAGCUUUUGAAUUAAACUCACUUUUAUAUAGUAGUUUUGUAUUAAAUUUUGGUCCAUGAAUAUUCUUAGAUUCUCGAUAUUAAAAGCAUAAAUACAUAACAAACUAAUAUUUAUUUCCUUUGUACAAAUACAUGCAUAUUUUCUUACCUAGGAAAGGCAUCCAAGCAUGCAUGUUACAACAAUAAUUUCAUGCAUGCAUUUAUGGUCCAAUUGUAAACCAAGUUUUCACCUACGUUGUUGGGAGGGAUGAACCUCUUUUUUUAAGUCCUGAAAUCAACCGUUUAACAAAAGUACACCAUACUAUCAUCGAUUUACAUAUAGAAAAAUUGUAGGAAAUGACACAAUUUAAGAAACUGAAAAGAAGCCGAUGGUGUUGAUUUUUUUUAGUCAAUUUAGGAAACUGAAAAAUUCAGAUGAUAAUAGUUGAUUGUAUAUUUCUCAAAUUUAAUGAUGAUAUGAUAACUAUUAGUAAUGACUUCCAAUUUUGAGAAACUCAAAAGAAGCCUAGGGUGUGGAUUUUUUUAAAAUCUUUUAUCAUAAUUUUUUUUUAUUAUAUAUGCAACUAUUUCAUUAUUGUGCUAUACAUAUUUUCCUUAACCUUAAGUGUCAUUUAUGUAAUUUGCCAUUUUAAGAACCUUGAAUUUUUACUAUUAACAUAUAAUUUAAUAUUACAUAUUUGGUAAUAAAAUUAAAAUAUAAUUAUUAAAUAAUUAAGUAAUUACGUGUGACAUUAAUUUAGAGUCUAAAUUCCAAUAGAUUUUUCUUUUAAUACUAUAGUCAACACAAUUGAUGCAUUCUUGAUAGAUUAUUAUAACCUUCAUUUGAUCGUAAGAACCCACAACACAAGUUCUUGCUUUUUGUCACGAUGACCAAAUUACACCCAUGAUUGAUACAAAAGGAAGGCUUAAAUCCAACCAUAGUGAAACUAAUCAAGAAGUGAAUCAACAAAAACUUGGACAUGUCAAUGCCAUAUCUAAUUAUUCCUGUUAUAAUAUUAAAUUCUUGCCCCUAAUGAGAGAAGAAAAAAAGCGUUUUCAUUCUUAAAGAAGAAAAAGAAACAAUAAUUUCUCAUAAAAUAAUACUUGCAACUUUUUUCCUCUCUAUAUUGCUGACCAAGUGGAAUUUAUUUUAAAACAUCCAUGUUUUCUAUUUGUUUUCUAAUUAAUCACUCACAUUUUUGCAUCCACCACUUAAAAGAGAAUAUAAAGCAAAAUUGACUGAAAAGAUAAAUGCAGACUAACUUCAAAUUAUAGACCAAUCAGUCUCACUACAUCCUUAUACAAGAUCAUUCCAAAAACUCUAGCUACUAGACUGAAGCCUCUUCUUCAAUACACUAUCUCCAACCAACAAAUCACUUUCAUCAAUGGCAGACAAAUCACCAAUGUAAUCCUAAUUGCUAAUGAAGCUGUAAACUAUUGGAAGGCAAAGAAGAUAAAAGAUUUUAUUUUCAAAUUGGAUAUUGAAAAAGCCUUUGACAAGAUCAACUGGAACUUCAUAGAUUAUAUCUCGAAGAAGAAGCAUUUUCCUGAUAAAUGGAGAAAAUAAAUAUAUUCAUGUAGCUACUAGACUCCCGCUUCUAUGACUGAAAAUAACUGUCGCGAAAUUCGUUUACGGUAGUAAAUAACCGUCGUCGUAGACCACUUUUGUACUAGUGUAAGCAAGUUUUAGAAGCAUAAGAUAGAAGUUUUUUUCUUUUUCAACGAACUUUCUCAUCCACUAUUGUCUUAUAUUACUUUCUUGAUAUGGACCAGGAGACCUAACAAGAAGCAGUUACAAGAGAACAUCAUUUCCUAAGAUAAUACCAUACGUUACAAAAGUAAUGAAAUUUGAUACUUCCAAUGUUUGUAGCAUUUGUUUAGGAACAUAAAAUCACCUUCGAUAGCAUCACCAACAUUUGUAAUGUUUUCUCUCAUAUAUAUGUUUUCUCCAUUAUAUAUGUUUCAAUAGACUCAAUCAAUCACAAGAGAUAACCAGAAUGGACUGGACAUAACCCAUUUGAUAUAGUUUCAAGUCAACAAUAGAUGGUCGAUUCAGUCAAAUACAUUUCAAACACCCAUUUUAUUGUGAAAGUUGAUGAGCUAUGAAAUAUUCUCCCUCAAUUAUAAACUUAAUUAAAAUUUGUUGAAGUCAAACAAGUAAAACAAUAUUAAUUUUGAGAGAAAAUAUCACUACUUUGAUGUCAUGAAAUUUACCAUAAUCCUUCAACUUUAACAAUCUUAUUCAUGCUAGAUCACUUACACAUAAACAAUGCAUAAUAUCUGUUUUUGUUGUUCUUUUUUCUCCUCUCUUUCUACCUACAUGCUUUCUAAGCUUUAAGUUUUUGAUUAUAUUAUAUCAAUUCAGGUUGAAAAAAGAUUGCAGAAAUUAUAUAUACUUUGUUGUAGGAAGAUGGAAACACAUAAUAGUAGCUAUUAAUUCACUAGUUUUGGCUGAUAGAAAAGCAAGAAAGAAUGACAUAGUUUACAAGCUUGCCCUUUAUUUUUAGCAUAUAGUUUAACUAGUUUAAAUGCUAAUCCUUUUGUGUGGAAUUACUUGAUGUGGUCUAGCAAAACUACUCUAUUAAUUAACUAUACAACACAAUACAAAGAAGUAUAAAAUGUUAUAUACUUUGUGUUUUAGGAUUAAGAACGAUGUUCAUAACUUGUUUUGUAAUAUGAAUUAAGAACAAUAUGUUUCUAUGUUGUAAGUAUGUAAUGACCAACUAUAUUUAUAUGUUCCAUGAGAUAUAUAUAUAUAAUUUGUUAGUUGUUUAGUCAAAAGUUUGGGUUGAUUUGAGAAACAUAACUAGUGCAAUUGAUCCUAUUAUAUACCAUUGUUAGAUUUAUAUCCUAUUAACCCAAGUGUUACCUUAAGGUGUCAAAUUAAUUUAUAUUUUGUUUUUCACUUUGAGUCAAAUUUACCUUUAACCUUAAAAAAAUAUUUUCAUUUUUUUACUCUUACCUUAGCCAAAAUCAAUAUACCAAAAUACAUAUUUUUAUAUAAGAACCUAUCUACAAAAUCUCGAUUGAAUUUCUUAAUUGAGCAUUAUAAAUAUUAUACAUCAAGAAGCAAGAAAAGUUACCUUGAAAUUACUAAGUGCAGAUUUUGUAGAUAUAUGGUAAAAAAAAUUAUCCAUAAAACUUUACGAUCAUGAAUUUUAAGAAAGAUAAUGUCAUUAUUCAUGAUCAUCAUUAACGUUGAUUUAGUUAUGAUUUCUCCAUUUAUUGCCCACAGAAAAGGUUUAUAUUUCAACCCCUUUUUCUAUUAACAUAGUUAAUAAGGUUAUGAAGAAAAAUGUGUGGGGUUUUCAUAAUUCUAAGAGUUACAACAGCAAAGUAUUUUUCCACUGGCUGAAUCUGGAACGCAACUUCCACUCCCAAAUUUUCUUCGAACGCAAGAACUUUGACAUUCUUUAAUUUGAGAACUAUUGGUGUUUGAGCAAGUUGAGUUACAAACUAAUGGCAGAGAGUGUCCUACCUUCACUUCCACAUCUACAUCAACAUCAAAUAAUUCAAAUGAAAGUUAGUUUUCCAUUGAUUGAGACAUGAAACUCUUUAUGUAAUUUCCAUUUCUUUCUUAUAAUUUGUACCCAAAAAAAUCACUUAGAAAUUUAUAGUAAUAGAGAAAAAAUUAGCACUUCUUACCCGAGUAAACACAAACGGAAAGCACAACCAUUGUAGUGAGAAAGAUCCAGAAAAACUUUUGUGCAUUCAUCUUUUCGUAAGCCAAAUCGUUUUCUUGCAAUGUGAUAUUAGCUUUUGAAUUAAACUCACUUUUAUAUAGUAGUUUUGUAUUAAAUUUUGGUUCAUGAAUGUUCUUAGAUUCUCGAUAUUAAAAGCAUAAAUACAUAACAAACUAAUAUUUAUUUCCUUUCGUACAAAUACAUGCAUAUUUUCUUAGCUAGGAAAGCAUGCAUAUUACACCAAUAAUUUCACACGUUAGAUAAGAUGCAUGCAUUUAUGGUCCAAUUGUAACCUAAGUUUUCACCUACGUCCAUGGGAGGGAGGGAUGGACCUCAUUUUUCAAGUCCUGAAAUCAACACUUUAAUAAAACUACACCAUACUAUCAUAGAUUUACAUAUAGAAAAAUUAUAGCAAAUGACACAAUUUAGGAAACUGAAAAGAAGCGUAGGGUGUGGAUUUUUUGUUUAGGAAACUGAAAAGAAGCCUAGGGUGUGGACUUUUUUAGUCUUUUAUCAUAAUUUUUCUUCAGUUAUAUAUGCAAUUAUUUUAUUCUUGUACUAUACAUAUUUUACUUUAGUGUCAUCUAUGUAAUUUGCCAUUUUAAGAACCUUGAAUUUUUACUAUUAACAUAUAUUUUAAUAUUACAUAUUUGGUAAUAAAAUUAACAUAUAAUUAUUAAAUAAUUAAGUAAUUACAUGCGAGAUUAUUUUAGAGUCGAAAUUCCAACCAAUUUUCCUUCUAAUACUAUAUUCAACAAAAUUGAUCCAUUCUCGAUCAAUUAUUACUAAACUUCAUUUGAUCGUAAAAACCCACAACACAAGGCUUAAAUCGAACCAUAGUGAAACAAAUGAAGAAGUGAAUCAACGAAAACUUGGACAUGUGAGUACCAUAUCUAAUUAUUACCGUUAUAAAAUUAAAUUAUUGCCCCUAUUGAGAAAAGAGAAAAACUAAAAGCUAUUUCAUUCUUUGCAAAAAGAAACAAUCAUUUAUGAUAAAAUAAUACUAUCAACCUUUUGCUCUCUAUAUUACAAACCAAGUGGAAUUUAUUCUAAAACAUCGAUGUUUUCAAUUUGUUUUUCUAAUUAAUCACUUACAUUUGCAUCCACCACUUAAAAGAGAAUAUAAAUCAAAAUUGACUAAGAAGAGAAAAUUAAAUUGGUGACAGCCCCUAAUUGAUUCUAAUCAGACAAUUGAAAGGAAAUACGAUCAAAUUACCAUCAUUAUUUAGGUUAGGUUUGAUAACUAUUUAGGUUUCAAGUAUUAAAAAAAUUAAAGAAUUUGAAAAGGAAAAUUGCAUCAAAUGACAAAAGCAUGUAGAAAAAUAAGUUCAUGACACUAUUUUUUUUUUUGCAUAUUGUGAAUAUAUAUGACAAAAUUAGUGAUAUCAGACGGCUAUCAUACAGUAAUCAUAGAGCUAUCGAAUGGUCGUCUCUUAUAAAUUUGUUACUUUUACAAAUUUAGAAAAUGUUGUAACACGAUCUCUAUUAUCAUAAAUAUUUUUGCUAUUUUUGUAAAAAGCCUUUUUAAAAACUAGAAUAUUUUUUUUUUAUUUCUAAAAUUUUGUCUAGAGCUAUUGAAUUUCAUAAAUAUGCAAAAAUUAUUGCAAGCCAAAUUAAUUCUAAGCAGAAAAUUGAAACGAAAUACAAAGUUGUCAUAAUUUUUACAUCCUACUUGAUAGUUUUUAUUAAAAUUGUCAAGUAAAAUAAAAAAACGUCAAGAAUAACGAAAAACUAGAAAAAUGCAUCAUUAAAAAAAAAAAUUCAAUACUUGACAGGUUAAAAGCGUCAAGUACACUUUUGUUUACAUGACAUUUACACUUUUAUUUACAUGACAUUUUUUAAAUGUAAAAAAUUACCUAAUUUUAAAUAAACAAAAUUAAAAUUAUUUUGUUGGGUUUUUUUUUUUCUUUUUGUGGUGUUUGUCUUUUUCAUCUUGCUUGUUUCUUAUCUAUCUAGAAAAUGAUACUGUAUGUGGAAAUCUUCGAAGUACCCACGUCAUUCCCAAUAUAAUAUUCAAUAAUAGGAACUCGGAGAAAAAGUUCAUGUUUAUAGGAUGGCUAGAGAUAAGCCAAAACUAUAAACAAAUACAAAAUACUAGCAAAAAGCACUAACUAGCAAAAAGCAUUGAUGGGUUGAGCUAUUAGCAAAAAAUAACAACUUUGCUUGUUUCUUAUCUAUCACUUUCCGUAUCUUGAAUUUCCUAAUUCAUUUGAUUACAUGCAAAUUUGAGUGAAUUGGUUCUCAAAGUUUUGAUUUUGGUUUUUGUUUGCACGUGGGGUUUGAUUUUUCUGAAACGUAUGUAGCCACCUAAUUUUAUCAUACAUUUUCUUUGUAAUCUUUUUUUAAAAAAUAAUAAUGACUAAGACUUUUAAUUUUGGAGCAUUAUUAAAAAUAAAAAAAUAAAUUAAAAUAUUUACAAGCUAAAAUCGGAGGCAAUAGACGCAACUUUUCCGAAAUAUAUUAUAAAUAUGAAGCGACAUCAUGUUUCAGUGUCGAGAUUAGUAAGCAACCGGACAGUAAGAUGCUUAAGUAACGUUGAAGCAUUUUCUUUUUGGUCUGCAGACCUGGAAAAGGUGACUAGUACGCUUUCUAAAUUCUUGCAAAACCCACGUGUUCAAGGAGCCAUAAGGUAAUCUCUAUAAAUGUCAAGGUUUUUGAGUUUCUGCUUUUAGUAACUAAGUUUUAUUUGGAUGACUUUAAAUGUUAGGAGUUUUGUGGCUAUUUACUGGUUUUCAGAUGAUUUAAAUUAUUGUUCUUUUUUUAUUUUUGUGAAAAUCUUUAAAAAAAAUGUUCACCUAGCAUCCACAUUUUUUUGGUUAAUAAGUUAACCAUUUGCAAACUCUCUAUUAUAAUGCAAGCAUUUAGGUACACAAGAACAACAGAAACUUAAGUAAAGAGUCCAAAAAGGAAAGUAUGGAAGGCAUCUAACUAGAGCCUCUCUAUGCGUAACUUAAAGUGUGCAGCCUAGGCAAGUUUUAGAAGCAUAAGAUAGACGUUUUUUUUUUUUUUUUUCAAUGAACUUUCUCAACCACUAUUGUCUUAUAUUACUUUCUUGAUAUAGACCAAAAGACUUGACAAGAAGCAGAAUCACAAGAGAACAUCCUUUCCUAAGAUAAUACCAUACGUUACAAAAGUGUAACAACCCAACUUUUCUACCAAGUCAAGGUCGUUAAUUAUUAUUAUUAUUAUUUUUUUUUUUUGACAAAAGACCUGAGUUUACACAAGUUUGCCAAAUUCAAUUAAAUUAAAGUCUUGAAGAAAACAAAUCUUUAUGAUUGGUCCCUGUUUAAAAUAACCAAAAUAUUCAAGAAAAAUUAUAAGUUACCAGUUUGUGAAUAGAGUAAAACCUCAAAUUUCUUAAAAGGUCUCAAGAAAAAUUAUAAGUUACCAGUUUGUGAAUAGAGUAAAACCUCAAAUUUCUUAAAAGGUCUCAAGUACGAAAACCGAACAAGAAAAUAAAUCAUCAAGCGGAAGAGAAUUUAAAAUAUCCCAUAAAACAUAAAGCGAAAGCAAAAUGAUGUAUUUCCCCAUGGCAAACACGCUUCCUUCCUGCCCCUCGCCGGUUUGCCACCUUUGUUGCCUUUGUCUGAAAAAUUAAACAUAAGGGGUGAGUAUAAAAAUACUCAAUAAGAGACCCACUACUGGUCCCAUUAAGGAAAAACAAAUUGUUAACGUCCUAUUGGGAUACCCUGUACAGUCACAGUCUUGUGAUCCCGUAGGAUACACAUAUCAGUCUAACGCCCGAGGGACGUACAUUUCAGUCUAAUGUUCUGCAGAAACACUUAUCAGUCUAAUGCUUCCGAAGGAUGCAUAAAAAUUGGUGAUCCCAUAGGGCACCUACAAGGCACACAUCCCAAUAAAAGCUAACAAUUUUUUCCCUUAGUCCAUUCUAAAACAUUUUGAUAAUCGUUCAAUUUGCAAUUCAAGCUACCACUAUUUCAUUCUCUGAGUUCAACACUUUUACAGUCAAUUUAUGCAAUCCAACACCUAGUCAACAUUGUUCUAAUAGUUUCUCAACGAAUAACUUAUACACAAGUAUCACUCUUCUCAAUUUAGUCCGUUUAAUUUAAUUCAGUAACCACAGGACGCUACCUAUGCCCUAACAUAGCAACCAACAAAUCACAACUUGAUCAGUUCAGUCAUCAUAGCCAACCAAGCAUACGUACCAGUCAGUCCAUCUCAAUUCAUAGCCAAACAGUCAAAAAUAAUAUUUGCAUAUCAGUCAGUCCAUCAGACAAUACAUCUCAAUUUCAUUGUUGAGUCCAAUAGUAGGAACCCUUACCUCAAUUUUAUGCAAUUUCCUCAAUCGAAGUAAAUCCAAUAAUCAAAUCCUAAACAUAAACAACAUAAAAUCAACAAUGGUAUCUAGCCAUAAACAAACAGAGAGCUAGAAAAUUUCCAAUUAACUACAUCCAUCCAACCCACCCCAAACAUGAAUUUGACAACUUAGCCAAGGAGUGGGGAAUCCAACUCCAAUGAAGCUUAUUGCGAAACCCAAGGACCUUAACACCAAUUCACUAAUAUCGCCUUCAAGAAUAACAUCAAUUCAACCAAUUAACAUACAUCACAUCUCAAUGUAUUUACAAUGCAGAACCUCAUAACCCAUCAAUUUCAUCCUUACGAAAACAAACUUACAACAACGUAGAGACAGCGGCACACAAAACUAAAGCAAACGAGAUUGUGCAGAAAAUUUGAGCAUGGGUCGACUUCAAAUCCGCGGCUGGAAGGUGAGGAGGUAAGUGACGACACUCCGGCAGACCAACGGCUCGGAAGAAUCGGGCGACAGCUUUGCGAACGAACGGCGCGCGGCAGAGAAACGGGAUACGGCGGAGAGACGAUGCGGCGUGGCCUGGGCUUCGCGAGGCUGUUCGCGAACGGAGACAGAGACGGCGGCCGACAGUUGCAGACGGCGGCUGGGUUUCAGUUUCGGCGAAUGGAAAAGAAUGGGCGGUUGCUGGCUGAAGGGAGGAGGAAAAACUGAAGAAAAGAAAAGAGAAAAGAAGAAGAGAAGAGAAAGAAAAGACGAGAAAGAAAGAAAGAAAAAAUAAAUAAAUAAAAGAGUG